UGGGGAAUAUUGGACAAUGGGGGGAACCCUGAUCCAGCCAUGCCGCGUGUGUGAAGAAGGCCCUAUGGUUGUAAAGCACUUUAAGCGAGGAGGAGGCUCCUGUAGUUAAUACCUACAGAGAGUGGACGUUACUCGCAGAAUAAGCACCGGCUAACUCUGUGCCAGCAGCCGCGGUAAUACAGAGGGUGCGAGCGUUAAUCGGAUUUACUGGGCGUAAAGCGUGCGUAGGCGGCUUUUUAAGUCGGAUGUGAAAUCCCCGAGCUUAACUUGGGAAUUGCAUUCGAUACUGGGAGGCUAGAGUAUGGGAGAGGAUGGUAGAAUUCCAAGUGUAGCGGUGAAAUGCGUAGAGACCUGGAGGAAUACCGAUGGCGAAGGCGAUCACCUGGGCCUGAACUGACGCUGAUGAACGAAAGCGUGGGGAGCAAACA
This 428-nucleotide ribosomal RNA is filed under the name uncultured bacterium. RNAcentral describes it as "bacterial SSU rRNA". It matches the Rfam family "Bacterial small subunit ribosomal RNA", at positions 355 to 774 of the family's 1533-position model. The record is from RNAcentral.